GCCUGGGUGGCUCAGUCGGUUGAGCGUCCGACUUCAGCUCAGGUCACGAUCUCACGGUUCGUGAGUUCGAGCCCCGCGUCAGGCU
This is a non-coding RNA of Felis catus (domestic cat), 85 nucleotides long. The record is from Rfam. Lineage: Eukaryota; Metazoa; Chordata; Mammalia; Carnivora; Felidae.